GUUUGUGGCCAUACCACCCUAAAUGCGCCCGACCUUGUCUGAUCUCAGAAGCUAAGCAGCAUCGGGCCUGGUUAGUACUUGGAUGGGAGAAAAGGAGAAAGACCUGCAGCCCGGCUU
Erinaceus europaeus (western European hedgehog) is the source of this 117-nucleotide ribosomal RNA. NCBI's taxonomy places the organism in Eukaryota, Metazoa, Chordata, Mammalia, Eulipotyphla, Erinaceidae. The record is from Ensembl.